AGAGCGAACGCUGGCGGCAGGCCUAAUACAUGCAAGUCGAACGGAUCCUUCGGGAUUAGUGGCGGACGGGUGAGUAACACGUGGGAACGUACCCUUUGGUUCGGAACAACUCAGGGAAACUUGAGCUAAUACCGAAUGUGCCCUUCGGGGAAAAGAUUUAUCGCCAUUGGAGCGGCCCGCGUCUGAUUAGCUAGUUGGUAGGGUAAAGGCCUACCAAGGCUACGAUCAGUAGCUGGUCUGAGAGGAUGAUCAGCCACACUGGGACUGAGACACGGCCCAGACUCCUACGGGAGGCAGCAGUAGGGAAUCUUGCGCAAUGGGCGAAAGCCUGACGCAGCCAUGCCGCGUGAAUGAUGAAGGUCUUAGGAUUGUAAAAUUCUUUCACCGGGGACGAUAAUGACGGUACCCGGAGAAGAAGCCCCGGCUAACUUCGUGCCAGCAGCCGC
Molecule: ribosomal RNA, 446 nt
Filed under: uncultured bacterium
Lineage: Bacteria
Description: SSU rRNA
Rfam family: Bacterial small subunit ribosomal RNA
Source: RNAcentral